AUAGUAGAGAACUUGAUCAAAUUUACCCUUUUGCCCCUUGAGGCAGAUCUCCCCAUUGGCCAUGGAGCCCCUUCUAAUCUUGUGAACUCCCCUUGGUCCAUGGCUGUGAAGAAUCACCCUCAAUUCGUUUUGAUUAUUUCUCUCCCUGCUGUUGUAUUCGUGAGAUUUAUUACCUGUAUUACUGGUGCAUUCAUUAUUUUCUGUACGUUCAAAUCCCUUGUUCGGUAAAAUCGCUAUUUUACCGAACAAGGACCACCCUGGGUAGCAAUUAGAACAUAGAAUCAUGUGUAACCGCAAGUUAAUUAAGAGUUCCCGGGUGGCCGCCAUUUCGGGAGCCGAACACGUGGCGAAGAAUCUUAAACUCCCGAACGGCCAGUCAGCGGGACUUAGGCGUUGACCGUCUGGAACUAUUUUUGGCAUAGCGCUCCAGCAUGACCCGGUCCCCC
Pelobates cultripes (western spadefoot toad) is the source of this 446-nucleotide non-coding RNA. Lineage: Eukaryota; Metazoa; Chordata; Amphibia; Anura; Pelobatidae. The record is from the annotation of a GenBank genome assembly.